This 341-nucleotide ribosomal RNA is filed under the name uncultured Glomeromycotina. RNAcentral describes it as "eukaryotic LSU rRNA". Lineage: Eukaryota; Fungi; Glomeromycota. The record is from RNAcentral.
AUCAGCCUUUUGGGCAUGACUCUGUGGAGCGUGAGGAGUUAAACGCCUUCAUGCCUGCAUAUUCGUGUACUUUGGGUGUACUUGCCUGUGUGGUUAGUUAACAUCAAUUUUGGUUAUCAUAAAAUGGCUGGAGGAAUGUAGCUUCGAUCUCGUAUUGAAGUGUUAUAGCCUUCGGCAGAUGUGAUGAUCGGGAUUGAGGAUUGCAACGGAUACCCUUCGGGGCUACCUGUCUGGUCUCUGAUCGUUGCUCUGGUGCCGAAAGCGUGCUUACGGUUAUCAAAGUCGAUGGUCAACAGGUUAGAACGGGUUAAAUUCGUUAAGGAUGUUGACGUAAUGGCUUU